UGGGGAAUAUUGGGCAAUGGGGGAAACCCUGACCCAGCAACGCCGCGUGAAGGAAGAAGGCUUUCGGGUUGUAAACUUCUUUUAUGUAGGAAGAAACAAAUGACGGUACUACAUGAAUAAGCCACGGCUAACUACGUGCCAGCAGCCGCGGUAAUACGUAGGUGGCAAGCGUUGUCCGGAUUUACUGGGUGUAAAGGGCGCGUAGGCGGGACUAUAAGUCCGGCGUGAAAUCUAGGGGCUCAACCCCUAAACUGCGUUGGAAACUGUAGUUCUUGAGUGAUGGAGAGGCAGGCGGAAUUCCCUGUGUAGCGGUGAAAUGCGUAGAUAUAGGGAGGAACACCAGUGGCGAAGGCGGCCUGCUGGACAUUAACUGACGCUGAGGCGCGAAAGCGUGGGGAGCAAACAGGAUUAGAUACCCGGGUAGUCC
Molecule: ribosomal RNA, 427 nt
Filed under: uncultured bacterium
Lineage: Bacteria
Description: bacterial SSU rRNA
Rfam family: Bacterial small subunit ribosomal RNA
Source: RNAcentral